RNAcentral lists this ribosomal RNA (987 nucleotides) under uncultured Pseudomonadota bacterium. Its description in RNAcentral is "bacterial SSU rRNA". It matches the Rfam family "Bacterial small subunit ribosomal RNA", at positions 28 to 1010 of the family's 1533-position model. Lineage: Bacteria; Pseudomonadati; Pseudomonadota. The record is from RNAcentral.
AAUGAACGCUGGCGGCGUGCUUAACACAUGCAAGUCGAGCGUGAAAGUCCCUUCGGGGGCAAGUAAAGCGGCGAACGGGUGAGUAACGCGUGGGAAUCUACCUUUUAGUGAGGAAUACCCUUGAGAAAUCGAGGUUAAUACUGCAUACGUCCCUUCGGGGAGAAAGAUGGCCUCUUUGCUGUCGCUGAAAGAUGAGCCUGCGUACUAUUAGCUAGUUGGUGGGGUAAAGGCCUACCAAGGCAAUGAUGGUUAGCCGGCCUGAGAGGGUGUACGGCCACAUUGGAACUGAGACACGGUCCAGACUCCUACGGGAGGCAGCAGUGAGGAAUAUUGCGCAAUGGGCGAAAGCUUGACGCAGCGACGCCGCGUGGAGGAUGAAGGUUUUCGGAUCGUAAACUCCUGUUAAGUGGGAAGAAAAGCCUGGUUUUAAUACAGCCAGGUAAUGACGGUACCAUUAGAGAAAGCACCGGCUAACUUCGUGCCAGCAGCCGCGGUAAUACGAGGGGUGCAAGCGUUAUUCGGAAUUAUUGGGCGUAAAGGGUGCGUAGACGGCAUACUAAGUCAACUGUUAAAUUUCUCGGCCUAACCGGGGUGCAGCGGUAGAAACUGGUAAGCUAGAGGGUGGAAGAGAGAAGUGGAAUUCUCGGAGUAGCGGUAAAAUGCGUAGAUCUCGAGAGGAACACCGAUGGCGAAGGCAGCUUCUUGGUCCAUACCUGACGUUGAGGCACGAAAGCGUGGGGAGCAAACAGGAUUAGAUACCCUGGUAGUCCACGCCGUAACCGAUGAUCACUAGACGCUGGUUUUGCUUAGCAGAAUCAGUGUCGUAGCUAACGCGUUAAGUGAUCCGCCUGGGGAUUACGGUCGCAAGACUAAAACUCAAAGGAAUUGACGGGGGUCCGCACAAGCGGUGGAACAUGUGGUUUAAUUCGACACUACGCGAGAAACCUUACCUAGGCUUGACAUGCUUUUGACAGCUGUAGAAAUACA